RNAcentral lists this ribosomal RNA (301 nucleotides) under uncultured bacterium. RNAcentral describes it as "partial 16S ribosomal RNA". It matches the Rfam family "Bacterial small subunit ribosomal RNA", at positions 509 to 808 of the family's 1533-position model. The record is from RNAcentral.
CAGUAGCCGCGGUAAUACGUAGGUCCCGAGCGCUGUCCGGAUUUAUUGGGCGUAAAGCGAGCGCAGGCGGUUAGAUAAGUCUGAAGUGAAAGGCAGUGGCUCAACCAUUGUAGGCUUUGGAAACUGCUUAACUUGAGUGCAGAAGGGGAGAGUGGAAUUCCAUGUGUAGCGGUGAAAUGCGUAGAUAUAUGGAGGAACACCGGUGGCGAAAGCGGCUCUCUGGUCUGUAACUGACGCUGAGGCUCGAAAGCGUGGGGAGCGAACAGGAUUAGAUACCCCGGUAGUCCCUGUCUCUUAUACA